UACGAAGGGUGCGAGCGUUGUCCGGAAUUAUUGGGCGUAAAGAGCUCGUAGGCGGCUCAGUAAGUCAGGUGUGAAACCUCCAGGCUCAACCUGGAGACGCCACCUGAUACUGCUGUGGCUAGAGUCCGGUAGGGGAGCGUGGAAUUCCUGGUGUAGCGGUGAAAUGCGCAGAUAUCAGGAAGAACACCCGUGGCGAAGGCGGCUCUCUGGGACGGUAC
Molecule: ribosomal RNA, 218 nt
Filed under: uncultured bacterium
Lineage: Bacteria
Description: partial 16S ribosomal RNA
Rfam family: Bacterial small subunit ribosomal RNA
Source: RNAcentral